RNAcentral lists this ribosomal RNA (253 nucleotides) under uncultured bacterium. Its description in RNAcentral is "partial 16S ribosomal RNA". It matches the Rfam family "Bacterial small subunit ribosomal RNA", at positions 524 to 776 of the family's 1533-position model. The record is from RNAcentral.
GACGUAGGGUGCGAGCGUUGUCCGGAUUUAUUGGGCGUAAAGAGCUCGUAGGCGGCUCGUCGCGUCGACCGUGAAAACCCGCGGCUUAACUGCGGGCUUGCGGUUGAUACGGGCGGGCUAGAGUUCGGUAGGGGAGACUGGAAUUCCUGGUGUAGCGGUGAAAUGCGCAGAUAUCAGGAGGAACACCGGUGGCGAAGGCGGUUCUCUGGGCAUGUCCUGACGCUGAGGAGCGAAAGUGUGGGGAGCGAACAGG